ACAAAAAUAUAUUACUCUAAUCUUAACUAAACUAAUUAAUUAAUGUAAACCUAACUAAACCAAUUGAUUAACUAAACCUAAAUCUAAACCUAAUAGAUGCUUCAGCCCCUCACAAAGCUUCAGCCACCGUCCACGAUUCAAACUCGCCACCAUCUGCUGUCCUCCUCCACCCUCGACACCAUCUGCUGUCCUCGCCACCGUCAUCACUCUC
Molecule: long non-coding RNA, 211 nt
Filed under: Brassica napus (rape)
Lineage: Eukaryota; Viridiplantae; Streptophyta; Magnoliopsida; Brassicales; Brassicaceae
Description: long non-coding RNA (BNAP_LNC010245)
Source: RNAcentral